This 1152-nucleotide ribosomal RNA is filed under the name Actinomyces sp. CM83. Its description in RNAcentral is "bacterial SSU rRNA". It matches the Rfam family "Bacterial small subunit ribosomal RNA", at positions 202 to 1336 of the family's 1533-position model. Lineage: Bacteria; Bacillati; Actinomycetota; Actinomycetes; Actinomycetales; Actinomycetaceae. The record is from RNAcentral.
AAAGAUGCGCCUUUGGGUGUUUUUGGUGGGGGAUGGGCUCGCGGCCUAUCAGCUUGUUGGUGGGGUGAUGGCCUACCAAGGCGGUGACGGGUAGCCGGCCUGAGAGGGUGGACGGUCACACUGGGACUGAGACACGGCCCAGACUCCUACGGGAGGCAGCAGUGGGGAAUAUUGCACAAUGGGCGCAAGCCUGAUGCAGCGACGCCGCGUGAGGGAUGGAGGCCUUCGGGUUGUAAACCUCUUUCGCCAGUGAAGCAGGCCUGCUCCUUGUGGGUGGGUUGACGGUAGCUGGAUAAGAAGCGCCGGCUAACUACGUGCCAGCAGCCGCGGUAAUACGUAGGGCGCGAGCGUUGUCCGGAAUUAUUGGGCGUAAAGAGCUCGUAGGCGGCUGGUCGCGUCUGUCGUGAAAUCCUCUGGCUUAACUGGGGGCUUGCGGUGGGUACGGGCCGGCUUGAGUGCGGUAGGGGAGACUGGAACUCCUGGUGUAGCGGUGGAAUGCGCAGAUAUCAGGAAGAACACCGGUGGCGAAGGCGGGUCUCUGGGCCGUUACUGACGCUGAGGAGCGAAAGCGUGGGGAGCGAACAGGAUUAGAUACCCUGGUAGUCCACGCCGUAAACGUUGGGCACUAGGUGUGGGGGGCCUUUUCCGGGUCUUCCGCGCCGUAGCUAACGCAUUAAGUGCCCCGCCUGGGGAGUACGGCCGCAAGGCUAAAACUCAAAGGAAUUGACGGGGGCCCGCACAAGCGGCGGAGCAUGCGGAUUAAUUCGAUGCAACGCGAAGAACCUUACCAAGGCUUGACAUGUGCCGGUCGGCUCCGGAGACGGGGUUUCCUCCUUGUGGGGCCGGUUCACAGGUGGUGCAUGGUUGUCGUCAGCUCGUGUCGUGAGAUGUUGGGUUAAGUCCCGCAACGAGCGCAACCCUUGUCCCGUGUUGCCAGCACGUUGUGGUGGGGACUCGCGGGAGACUGCCGGGGUCAACUCGGAGGAAGGUGGGGAUGACGUCAAAUCAUCAUGCCCCUUAUGUCUUGGGCUUCACGCAUGCUACAAUGGCCGGUACAGAGGGCUGCGAUACCGUGAGGUGGAGCGAAUCCCUUAAAGCCGGUCUCAGUUCGGAUCGGUGUCUGCAACUCGACACCGUGAAGUUGGAGUCGCU